RNAcentral lists this ribosomal RNA (433 nucleotides) under uncultured bacterium. RNAcentral describes it as "partial 16S ribosomal RNA". It matches the Rfam family "Bacterial small subunit ribosomal RNA", at positions 29 to 507 of the family's 1533-position model. The record is from RNAcentral.
AGCGAACGCUGGCGGCAGGCUUAACACAUGCAAGUCGAACGAACUCUUCGGAGUUAGUGGCGGACGUGUGAGUACCACGUGGGAACGUGCCCUUUGGUUCGGUAUAACUCAGGGAAACUUGUGCUAAUACCGAAUGUGCUCUUCGGGGGUAAGAUCUAUCGCCAUUAGAUCGGCCCGGGUCUGAUUAGCUAGUUGGUGAGGUAACGGCUCACCAAGGCGACGAUCAGUAGCUGGUCGGUGAGGAUGACCCGCCGCGCUGGCGCUGCGGCACGGCCCACACUCCGACGGAGCGCAGCAGUGGGGAGUCUUGCGCAAUGGACGCAGGCGUGGCGCAGCCGUGCCGCGUGAAUGAUGAAGCUCUUAGGAUUGUAAAAUUCUUUCUCCCGGGACGAUAGUGACGGUACCCGGAGAAGAAGCCCCGGCUAACUUCGUG